This 1085-nucleotide long non-coding RNA is filed under the name Capsicum annuum. RNAcentral describes it as "long non-coding RNA (CANN_LNC019581)". The record is from RNAcentral. Lineage: Eukaryota; Viridiplantae; Streptophyta; Magnoliopsida; Solanales; Solanaceae.
UCAUGUUCAGUUACUUUAUAUCAUAUAGCCAGUUAUUGUUCAUGCAUAUGAACCCUUGCAUACAGCCUUACCUUAUCUAGCAUCCCAGUACAUUUCACAUACUGACGCAUACUCUUUCUUUGUUCUAUGAUGUCUCAUAUCAUAGGUUCGGACGCUUAGGUUCCCGACAACGCAUAGAUAGAUUCAGAUUCAGCCAGCAGCAGUAGAUUAGUAGUGAGUCCUUAUCAUUCGCGGAUAUUCUUUUAUUUCAUUAUUUUAGUAGACUUUGUAUUUCAGUAAAUGGAGUUAGUUGGGGGAUUGUCCCAUCAACUCCUUUUUCAGAUAGUUUCAGUUAGAGGCAUUUCAGACUAAUUUUUAGACAGUGUUCAUUUUUACAGAUUGUUAUUUCAGUUGAUACACUUUAUCAGUAAUUACAGAUUUUGAACCUUAUGGCAUUUCAUCCUAUUUUUCUGCAUUUAUUACAGCAUCAUGUUUCUGUGCUCACAGAAGAUAUCAGUCAUGGGUUAGCUUGUGGUCCUUUGGGGUCGUAAGCACCGUGUAGUGUCCGGGGUACAGACUCGGGGCGUUACAGCCUAAUGGCCUCAUUCUCAUGGUAAGUCAAGGGUAAUACAUAGUGCCCUUGAUUAAUUGUAUAGACUACAAAAUGUCCCUUUUCAACUAUAGAGGAUGAGGAUGUACUGCAACCGUCUACAUCACUGCUAUUUCAUGGAAAAUGAAAUCCUCCUCCUUUGUAUGGCUGUAAAAUCUACCAUCUCCUGGCCAUCUUGAUGAGUUUCUUAGCACUAAGAAUUGCUCUUUUCCUUGAAAGAUUGGAAGCAAGAAAGGAAACUAGAAAUUUAGAAUAGUUUGGUGUCUGAAUAGAUAAUGCUUGUAGUAGUUGAUGAAAACAUAACACAGAAGGAGGUUAUUUAUACAAAAGGUUGUAGACAGGCUUUUGGUUGGAGAUGAAGUUUUUGUCACUAACCACUGAGGGCAAAGACAUGUAUCGAUGCUUGUUGUCUAUGUUUAUAUGGGGCUUAACUUUGGGUAUGGAAGGAUGAAGGAUUAUAAGUUGUUUAAUUUUUAUCGAAAAGGUUUGAUGCAUU